This 531-nucleotide ribosomal RNA is filed under the name uncultured Alphaproteobacteria bacterium. Its description in RNAcentral is "bacterial SSU rRNA". It matches the Rfam family "Bacterial small subunit ribosomal RNA", at positions 38 to 617 of the family's 1533-position model. Lineage: Bacteria; Pseudomonadati; Pseudomonadota; Alphaproteobacteria. The record is from RNAcentral.
GGCGGCAGGCCUAACACAUGCAAGUCGAGCGCCCCGCAAGGGGAGCGGCAGACGGGAGAGUAACACGUGGGAACGUACCCUUUGGUUCGGAACAACCCAGGGAAACUUGGGCUAAUACCGGAUAAGCCCUUACGGGGAAAGAUUUAUCGCCGAAGGAUCGGCCCGCGUCUGAUUAGCUAGUUGGUGGGGUAAUGGCCCACCAAGGCUACGAUCAGUAGCUGGUCUGAGAGGAUGAUCAGCCUCACUGGGACUGAGACACGGCCCAGACUCCUACGGGAGGCAGCAGUGGGGAAUAUUGGACAAUGGGCGCAAGCCUGAUCCAGCCAUGCCGCGUGGGUGAUGAAGGCCCUAGGGUUGUAAAGCCCUUUCGGCGGGGAAGAUAAUGACGGUACCCGCAGAAGAAGCCCCGGCUAACUUCGUGCCAGCAGCCGCGGUAAUACGAAGGGGGCUAGCGUUGCUCGGAAUCACUGGGCGUAAAGCGCACGUAGGCGGAUUGCUAAGUCAGGGGUGAAAUCCUGGAGCUCAACUCCA